This is a long non-coding RNA of Trichechus manatus latirostris (Florida manatee), 3592 nucleotides long. RefSeq lists it as uncharacterized. The record is from RefSeq and is a predicted model, not a curated record. The transcript has 3 exons. NCBI's taxonomy places the organism in Eukaryota, Metazoa, Chordata, Mammalia, Sirenia, Trichechidae.
AUCAGAAGGGUAAAGUGGAGAUAACCUGCGUCAGCAUGCCCUCUCCCACAAAUUCAGUUUGGUCCGUUCAUCAGUUAGCUGCCAUGUGCCAGGCAUUCUGCCAGAUGCUGGGCAUAUGGAGAUGGAUGACACACGUGGAGUGGACAGACAUAGUGGGAUUUGUUUCCUUAGGUAUAGCAACGAUGACCCCAGAGAAAAGUCGUAGACACAUUUGUCUUCACUGGAAAUAGAGCUGAUAUUUUAAAACCUCGCUAAAGUAUCCUGGCUAUUUUUAAAUGUGCACGUGUCAUUUCAUCAUUGUCCUCUGCAGCUGAUUCCAAAAGCAUAAUUCAAACUAAACGUAAAUUAUCUUUGGUAUUUGCUACAAGUCUUAUUAGACAGUUUCUGGGGGCAAAUCUCUAAGUGAGUAAGGAAGUGUGGCCCAUUACUCGGCAAGGAAGAGUAACUGCAACUGGCUUGAUUCAGAAGCGGUGGCUGCCUGUUAGAGAUGUAUUACAUGUAUUAGAGUGACCAGCCAAGCAGCAAAGACUUGCCUUUCAAUAGCACAUGUUACCCAGAAAAAGAAGCCCUCAUCACAAAGGGCGUUAGCUGUCUUAAGUUACUGGCUCUUUCUAGAACUGUUAAGAGGCUCUGGUUUUCUUACUGAGAGGUCUAAGAUCCUAACCUUUUAGUAAUACCAUGCCUAUGUGAAUUAUUUUUUCCUGUGAUUUUGUCAUAUUUAGAAAGGAAUAAUUCAUUUCCAUGUUUGGAUAUUUUUCUUAGAUUCCUGUCAUCUUUUCUAAGCUUAUUGAUAAGGAUAAGUUGGAGUCCCAUUGUCAUAUCUGAGCUUCCUACUCUCUGAGAAUAGUGAUUUAAGAGGCUCGACUCUUUUGGAAAAUUCUCUGAAGAAAUUGAGCAGAGACAUCAAAAAAUAAAUUACCCCUUGUUUAUAAUCAAAUUCAUUCCUCUUUAAUAAAUUAGCACCUGCCAAAUCCAGUCCUAGCUUCCUGUUCUUUCCGCAACCUGGAUACAAAAGCAUUCCAUUCAACCACCCCUUCUAGUGGCUGAUUUCUUGCCAGUAACUCCCAGCAUGCACUACCAUCUGUUUACCUCUCAGCUGCUUGAACCCACCCUGCUUCCUAAAUUAAUACUAAAAUGCAUUUUCCCAAUGCCAGUCCUUUUGGCUUCUCCUUUAGGCAACAGCCAACUCCAACCUAAUUUCAUAUAACAGUAUCCACCAACUACUGUCCAGGAAGAAAAUACAACAACAAAACAAGGAAAUCAAAUCUGUUUCAAUGUAAGGCCCAAAUUAGCUUCUUGAACACAAUGCUGCAGUCUUAUUAGAUUAUUUAUUAUAAAUAAAUGAAGAUUUGAAUGGAAGAGCCCUUAAGAAGCUAAUCCUUUUUCUGCUCUCUUCUUUUUCAGCUACUGCUUGACCAUGUGGGUAUGGCAGUCCUCAGUGCAAACCUUCUGGGGAGAAAGGUUCUCAGAUCAAUUCAACAGCUGUUUUUAAUUUUUCUUUCUAUGUGAACCUUGGGUAGAAUUAGCCACGUUUUCUAAUCUUGAAAGCUUCUUAUGCACUUAUCUGUGGAAAUUAGAAAAGACAGGAUUCAAAUAGGAGAGGAAAAUGAAGGGGAAAGCCUAGCUCUUCUGGAAUAUUUCUUCUCUCUCCUUUAGACAUGCUGUGCAGAUAAAGAAUGAGAAGAAAGAUGUCUUGUAGGAGGAAGCCUUGAGAAAAUUUAGGAUUAGAUGGCCCUGGAAAAGUUCAUUAUCUUCUUCCUACAUUCAAACUUGAGUAUGGGGGAGGUUUGGGUUGGGGAGUUGUAUAGAUUACAGCAUACAUGUUUUUGUUGCUUAGCAUUCCCAUGAAACCACUGAGUGCUCUUUUCCACGUCUUACCUUGCAUUGUUUUCUUAUAUAAAAUAUUUUUAUUGCUUUGUUGCUAUCAGCAUAAUUUUCCCCCAAGAGAACGACUACAUAUUGUUCUUAGAAAAGAUGAACAAAGUGAAACUUUCAAUUCCAAGCAUGAGAAAUUCAUGCAAAGUUUACAGGAUUUAUGAAUACAGGAAUUAUGAAACAGGAGUUGCCUUCGGGUCCUCACAGGCUAUUUUUCCGAAAUCCUUCCACUCAUAGUUCCCCAUCCGCCUCCCAUACACACAGGCACACAGUUCUAAUGCCUACACGUGUGCACAGGCAAACUCUCUCUCUCUCUGUCUGACACACACAGACACAUACGCAGAAAGUAUAGUCUCCCAAAAGAAGUCCUUACAUUGGACCAAAUAAGGCUACUUAAUUGCUUUUGUGGCAAUUCGUCCUUUUUGUGUUCUUGUUUUUUCUAGCUGCUACUAGCAGAUGACUGUCUAUUAAAUGCCCAACCAGCUGUAUGUUGGCAGCAGAGCAAAAAGCUAAACUGCUACUGGUUCUGCCAGAGAAAAUCAACUUUAUCUCAAGGAGCUGAACUGCCAGGUGGAGUUGAGUAAACUGUGAGGUUGCAACACAGUUGAGGCACACAGCUCACCACCAACGAAAAAAAGCCAACCCAGUUCUGCUUUUGAAUGUCUGCUAAACUGACGGAACUGAGUGAUAUAUACAAGGGUGAAGCAAUAGCCUCUGGAGAAAGAGCCCUAUUGUAUUGACAACUAGAGUCUCACGGAAUGGAUUUUGGAAGAGAAUGAGGAGAAACGGAUCUGGGAGUAGUGGAGUUUGAGCAGAAAGCACUUUGUUAUUGAAACUCCGGUUUUUGGCAUCUCUUCAAAAAAGCUGGAUAUCAAAGAAUGCUUAAAUCUGACACAAAAAUAGAAGAAAAAAUGAGCAAACACUAACUUCCUUCUAAAACACUAGGGAAGGAAUCAUUUGUGUCUGGCCAAAGGGAAUGCCUACUGAGUGAAUGAAUGAAUCAACAGCCUUCACAGAAACAAAGCUGGGAUAUCAGAAUGGAUGCAACUUCAGUGUUACUCUGUUUUUAAAUAUUUUCUUUUCUUGAGUGAGUACAUAAGGAUGUAAGCAGCAGAUGUGUAAGGAAAACAAAUGGCUUAUUUCUAAAAUAUUUUUUCCACUUUACCUUUUUUCUUGAGACUUGCUAGAUUUCAAAGUGCUACAUAAGAUGGGCAGCAAGAAAAGAAUAGGAAUUUCAUACUACACGGCUAUUUGUGGUUUGGUAGCAAAAUUCAUCCAGAAUGCACUUAUCUUUGAUUUCUGACAGAUAAGAAAUACCUUUUUCUAAUUACUACAAAGUUAAUACUCUGAAUAUAUUUUUAAAUCUGAGCUUUCCUUCUAAAAAGUUUCCUAAGGCUUACAUAGACUUAUAAUUUUUCCUAUAUCAGGGGUGAGGGAAGUAUAAUUUAGGUUUUUUUUCCUAAUUUUAAGUGUUUUAAAAAUUGUGUUUUUUUUUUAGACUCUUUAUCUUGAGCUCUAAAAAAACUCCAUUCCCUUUUCCCUGCUGAAUUAUGACAAUUCUCCAAGAUGUGUCACUGGCCUGAGAUGCUAGGCUGAUACAAACCCACACAUCUCAGAAGGAGUGGGUUGACUUCUUAAGAAGAACCCAUUGAAAUGCUUACCUAGAACCUAAUGCUGUGGGGGCAGUGGUGGUUCACUGAUAGAAUUCUCGCCCUUC